GAAGGUGGGGACGACGUCAAGUCAUCAUGGCCCUUACGAGUAGGGCUACACACGUGCUACAAUGGCGAGUACAGAGGGAUGCAAACCUGCGAAGGUAAGCGGACCCCUUAAAGCUCGUCGUAGUCCGGAUUGGAGUCUGCAACUCGACUCCAUGAAGUCGGAAUCGCUAGUAAUCGCGGAUCAGAAUGCCGCGGUGAAUACGUUCCCGGGCCUUGUACACACCGCCCGUCACACCAUGGGAGUUGGUUUGACCCGAAGACGGUACGCUAACCGCAAGGAGGCAGCCGGCCACGGUAGGGCCAG
This 303-nucleotide ribosomal RNA is filed under the name Heterosigma akashiwo. Its description in RNAcentral is "partial Bacterial small subunit ribosomal RNA". It matches the Rfam family "Bacterial small subunit ribosomal RNA", at positions 1169 to 1471 of the family's 1533-position model. Lineage: Eukaryota; Raphidophyceae; Chattonellales; Chattonellaceae. The record is from RNAcentral.